This is a long non-coding RNA of Pogoniulus pusillus (Red-fronted tinkerbird), 3189 nucleotides long. RefSeq lists it as uncharacterized. The record is from RefSeq and is a predicted model, not a curated record. NCBI's taxonomy places the organism in Eukaryota, Metazoa, Chordata, Aves, Piciformes, Lybiidae. The transcript has 5 exons.
UCUCCAGGGAGGCCUCAAGCACAUCCCUGGGCAGCCUACUCCAGUGUUCCACCAGCCUGGCUCUGAUGCCCACGUGAGGAACUGGUCCCAGAAAGCCUGCAGCUGAGCUUCCCUGCAGCUCUGCAGAGUUCUUAAGACCUAAGAGAAGACCUGAGGAACAUACCUGAGCCUUGUAGAGACUUCACCUUCUUCCUGAGCCACCCAUCCCACAUCUGCAAAGGAGGCCACUGCAUCUUCUCUAAGCUGGUUUGGAUGCUUCCCUUCUGUAGCAUGAGAAGUAAGCUAAAUUUUGAAGACAAGAUCGAAGGUUUCAGAGUCACUUUUCCCAGCCCAGGUCCCCUUUAUUUUACCCAAGAACUACAGGCAGCUAUGAACACAGGUGAACAGAACAUCUGUGGACUUCACACACUUAUUUCUGUCCUGGGGCUGGCCCAGAACCACAUCCCAGGCUUCAGACUACUCCCUCUAGCCUGAUGGGCUAACUGAAGAUGCUCUCCCGUGGCACCACUGGACACCAAGAAUCCAGAUUCUAUUCCUGCCCAGCAGCUAGGAGCCAUGAAGGGUCUGCUGCUCCUCCAACACCUCUCAUCCAGUUAUCAGCAGGCAAAUGAAGGCCUGAGGGCAGUUUGGUGGAAGCACUGCUGAUAAACAUGCACCCUCAGUACAGAAGCUGAAGAAUCUGUACUUGGAAAAAAGUCAUCCUCUGCUGUGCCUGGUUUGUAUUCUGCUGUUACAAACCCUCUGGGCAUCAGACUGGCUCCAUCUGGGCUGAACACCUCUGGAAGCAAGAGCAAAUCCUUUUCUGAGCAGAACGAGACCCAACUUCCCAAGUGCCGAGAGCACCUACCUGGAACUGAACUCUUGGGCACUGGAUGAGGGAGAGAUUCCUCAGACUGAUGGGAGGUUCUACCACAGUACUCCAGAGUAAGAACUGCCCUCCUAAAUUCUGUGAAGGAUUUCCCUGCUGUUAACACACUAAAGCAUGUCCACAUCUUAGAGGGAUUACUGCACUGAGGUCAGUACUUGUACUCAAAAUAGCUUCCUAGAGGUCCCAGUGACAAAGCAGUUGAUGUGAAGCAGAUCUCUAAGCAGCCAGAGACAACUCUCUGCACCCCUUCCUUCCAGGCACAUUCUUCAGUGAAGAGCAGAGAUGUGUGCUCUCCCAUCCUCUAACAUGUUCAGAGAGGUAAACAAUUCAGUGUAAUUUAGCACAGCUCUGAGUUUAAUGGGGCUUCUCCUAUCUCCAAGGCAGGAGCAAAGAAAUAAGAUCUGAGCAUUAACAUCACUUAAGAAUCAGUUGAAAGUUCUCUUUCAGCUUCAAGGCACACAGAAUUCAGCAGGAAAAGCAAUGCUCACAGAGCCAACAGUUUGGGUUUAAAGCCAGAAGAAGCUGCAUCGUGUUUUGAAUGUGUUCUACUCAACACUUCAGUGCCCAAGUAGCAAACUUCAUCCUUUUUCAGCAGCACAGAACCAGCCAAGUGCUGGCUACACUCACUCUGCUGCAGAAGGUAAGCACAAACUACAGCAUCCCAAGAGCUUGCCACAGCUGGAGCUCCUGCAGGCACAAAGCACAUUUCCCACACUUACUGAUUCCAUGUUUAAUCCAACUUGUUCCAAAGCCAUCCUAACGAAGCGCUUAAGCCAGCAAAUCAUCUGGAAUGGGAAAAGCCUCUCCACAGGUGGACUUAAGCCUUCCAACCCUAGAGGGCUCCAGAGGUUCCAUAGUACUUCUGAAAUGAGAAAGAAGACAAUCUUAGAUGCAUGUUGAGGAGCACACAAAGACCUGCUCCUUGGAGUCCUAAAAAGCAAACUUCAGAAAGAGUUCCUGGAAACAAGAUGUGCUGGGGGCCAGCAGCAACCUGUGCUGCAAAGCAGAGGCAGUCAGAAGACAUUUGCUGAUGACAGGUGACAAGGACUCCACAGCAGUGUCAUCUGGAAGAAGUCAAAGCUGCUGCAAAGUUAAUGAUUAAAAUGCUGGGGACACAAUUGCUGACUUCAGCUUGGACAGGUGAUGGGGUUCAACAGCUCUGAGUGAGCACCCGGCCCCACUGAACGCCUGCAGCUGGGGGCUAGUGUGAAGAUGAAAGCACUGUGCUCCUGUCCAAAGCUCCUGUCCAAAGCUCCUUCCAGAAUCCUGGCAUGGUGGGGGUGGGAAGGGAUUUCUGGAGGCUGCCCAGUCCAGCCCCACUGCUAAAGCAAAGCACCCACAGCAGCUUGCCCAGGAUCACAAAGGCCAAGUGGGUUUGGAAGCUCUGCAGAGAAGGAGACCUCUCUGGGCAGCCUGCUCCCAUUGGCCUUCUUGGCCACCAGGACACUUGGGUCCUUCUCUUUGGACAUGCUUUCCAGGAGCAAAACCAUGUGCAGGGGGCAAACACAGAAAGCUGAUCCUCUCUCUUCAUCCACAUCAUCUGACAGCUUUGUUUUCCCCUUCUUUUUCCUACAAGUGAGGGGAGAAAGGAAAUGUGGAAAAUGAGUAAAGCAAGAGCAGGACAGGAAAUAGCCCAGAUGUGGGACCUGAAAAUCCUCAUGUGAUUUACAAAGCUGGACAGGUUUCAGAUCCCAUCUAUUUAUAGGUACUACCAUCCAGUGAGAACAAGAUGUUGUUUGCUGCUCUCAAGAACACAGCCCAGCUUUAAUUGUGUUCUGCACCAUCACUUGGACAAGUGGGUACCACUAAAACUAAGGAAGCUAUAGACUGAGGUUUAUGUUUGGUUUGUGUAUCAAGCUGGAAACAACACUGCUGAAACACCCUGAGUGAUCUGCCUGCAGGAUGAAGCCACUCUGUGUAUUGUAUACAUAGAGGGAAGGAUGACUAAAGCCAGGGAGCAGCAAGGAACUGGUUACUGGGGAAAUCUGAAAGGCAGGAGAUGGAAAAGUGAUGCUGUUUGGAAGUGCCCACAAGCACUACAGUUAAACCAUCACUGUUUCCAUUACAGAGUUUACAGCUGCUUAGUAAUAACCUGCUGCUUCUGGAAACUUGGCAGGAGCUGUGCAUCUCUGCAGUUAUCUGUCCAAAAAGCUGCUCUUGGUUUCUCACCACCACGGAAAACAAAGGCACUUCUUACCAGGGUCAGAACAAACUAUCAGCUAAAGGAGGAGUUGUGAAAAUGCAAGAUAAAGUUAUUAAGUGACUCACCCACCAUGAGAUAAUGGAAGUGCAGUUGGUAGAAAUAAAAUGAGGAAGAGUAA